Molecule: ribosomal RNA, 494 nt
Filed under: uncultured bacterium
Lineage: Bacteria
Description: partial 16S ribosomal RNA
Rfam family: Bacterial small subunit ribosomal RNA
Source: RNAcentral
GACGAACGCUGGCGGCGUGCUUAACACAUGCAAGUCGAACGGAAAGGCCUGCUUUCCCUUGUGGAUUGCGGGUACUCGAGUGGCGAACGGGUGAGUAACACGUGAGUGAUCUGCCCCCAACUUGGGUAUAAGCCUGGGAAACUGGGUCUAAUUCCCGAUAGGACUGCAGGGUGGUGCCUGUGGUGGAAAACGAUUUUCUAGUGGUUGGGGAUGAGCUCGCGGCCUAUCAGCUUGUUGGUGGGGUAAUGGCCUACCAAGGCGGCGACGGGUAGCCGGCCUGGGAGGGGGGACGGACACAUUGGGACUGAGAUACGGCCCAGACUCCUACGGGAGGCAGCAGUGGGGGAUAAUGCACAAUGGGCGGAAGCCUGAUGCAGCGACGCCGCGUGGGGGAUGACGGCCUUCGGGUUGUAAACUCCUUUCGACCGCGAGGAAGCCACCUGGUUGGAAGGGUGGUGACGGUAGUGGUAGAAGAAGCACCGGCUAACUACGUG